GGCCUGCCUCAAAGGCGGGCGGCCGCGGCUGAGGGCAUCGUGGGCCGUGGGGUUUCUCCCACUGGUCCGCGGGGCUGGUCCGGACCGGGACUCAGGGCCGCGGGCGGCGCUGUCUCAUCACCGCUGAGGCGCGAAGAACGGUCGCCCCGAGCACCGCACGGUAGUGGACAAGCGCGCGGAGGCACGAAUGUCACCAUGAUCAGUGGGGACACAAGGGCGCCAGACAGAUACGCGGGCACCCUGAGCAGGCAUGGAAGUGGAGACAUGCUAGUUAGGAGCAGGGAGAGAUGGGAAGAUGAAGACCAGCAAUCAAUCAAUCAAUCAAUCCAGCAAGAUGAUUCAGCAGAGUCCUGGCACAGCCCUGUCGCACCUCUCAGGGGAGCUGAGGGAAAGGGGUUAAGAAACCUCACUUGCGGGGUGCCUGAGUGGCUCAGUUGUUAAGCGUCAUCUGCCUUCGGCUCAGGUCAUGAUCCCAGGGUCCUGGGAUC
Molecule: long non-coding RNA, 488 nt
Organism: Leptonychotes weddellii (Weddell seal)
Lineage: Eukaryota; Metazoa; Chordata; Mammalia; Carnivora; Phocidae
Source: RefSeq, a predicted model, not a curated record